This 486-nucleotide ribosomal RNA is filed under the name uncultured bacterium. RNAcentral describes it as "partial 16S ribosomal RNA". It matches the Rfam family "Bacterial small subunit ribosomal RNA", at positions 29 to 507 of the family's 1533-position model. The record is from RNAcentral.
AUUGAACGCUGGCGGCAUGCCUUACACAUGCAAGUCGAACGGCAGCACGGGUGCUUGCACCUGGUGGCGAGUGGCGAACGGGUGAGUAAUACAUCGGAACAUGUCCUGUAGUGGGGGAUAGCCCGGCGAAAGCCGGAUUAAUACCGCAUACGAUCUACGGAUGAAAGCGGGGGACCUUCGGGCCUCGCGCUAUAGGGUUGGCCGAUGGCUGAUUAGCUAGUUGGUGGGGUAACGGCCUACCAAGGCGACGAUCAGUAGCUGGUCUGAGAGGACGACCAGCCACAGUGGGGAGAAGAACGGCCACGGAUCCAUCGGGGAGGAAGCAGGGGGAAUGUUUGAAAAAGGGGAGAAGGCUUAAUCCAAAAAUGCCGCGUGGGAAAAGAAGGCUUUGGGUUUUAAAAGCAUUUUUGCCGGAAAAGAAAUACUGGCCCCUAAUAGGGGCGGGGGAUGACGGGACCGGAAAAAAAGGCCCCGGCUAACUCCGAC